This 440-nucleotide ribosomal RNA is filed under the name uncultured bacterium. Its description in RNAcentral is "partial 16S ribosomal RNA". It matches the Rfam family "Bacterial small subunit ribosomal RNA", at positions 338 to 795 of the family's 1533-position model. The record is from RNAcentral.
CCUACGGGUGGCAGCAGUGGGGGAUAUUGCACAAUGGGGGAAACCCUGAUGCAGCGACGCCGCGUGUGGGAAGACGGUCCUCUGGAUUGUAAACCACUGUCCCCAGGGACGAAGAUGACGGUACCUGGGGAGGAAGCUCCGGCUAACUACGGGCCCGGAGCCGCGGUAUAACGUGGGGAGCGAGCGUUGUCGGGAAUUAGUGGGGGUAAAGGGAGCGUAGGCGGGACGGCAAGUUGGGUGUAAAAUCUACCGGCUCAACCGGUAGCCGCACUCAAAACUGCAGUUCUUGAGUGAAGUAGAGGCAGGCGGAAUUCCUAGUGUAGCGGUGAAAUGCGUAGAUAUUAGGAGGAACACCAGUGGCGAAGGCGGCCUGCUGGGCUUUUACUGACGCUGAGGCUCGAAAGUGUGGGGAGCAAACAGGAUUAGAUACCCUUGUAGUC